This 234-nucleotide unclassified non-coding RNA is filed under the name Hevea brasiliensis (rubber tree). Lineage: Eukaryota; Viridiplantae; Streptophyta; Magnoliopsida; Malpighiales; Euphorbiaceae. The record is from RNAcentral.
CCCCCCCUCUUUUUUUUUUUAAGUUGCAACUGGUCAAGUUUUGAAGUUUUUUUUUUAUGAGCAAAAGAUGGUGGCUUCCAUUUUUCUGUAUUGCAAUAACUUGAAGUUAAGUCUUGCAUUUGAUUGCUUGUUUCCUGUAAACCAAAAUGAUCUAUUUUGUUGAAGUGCUGAAAUGGUUUAUAAAUAUGUAAAGAGGGUUAAUGAAGUGGGAUAAUCUCUAAAAAUGAAGAAUUU